This 890-nucleotide ribosomal RNA is filed under the name uncultured bacterium. RNAcentral describes it as "bacterial SSU rRNA". It matches the Rfam family "Bacterial small subunit ribosomal RNA", at positions 545 to 1436 of the family's 1533-position model. The record is from RNAcentral.
CNGGAUUUAUUGGGCGUAAAGGGAGCGCAGGCGGUUUAGUAAGUCUGAAGUUAAAGGCAUUGGNUCAUCCAAUGUAUGCUUUGGAAACUGUUAGACUUGAGUGCAGAAGGGGAGAGUGGAAUUCCAUGUGUAGCGGUGAAAUGCGUAGAUAUAUGGAGGAACACCGGUGGCGAAAGCGGCUCUCUGGUCUGUCACUGACGCUGAGGCUCGAAAGCGUGGGUAGCGAACAGGAUUAGAUACCCUGGUAGUCCACGCCGUAAACGCUGAGUGCUAGGUGUUAGGUCCUUUCCGGGACUUAGUGCCGACGCUAACGCAUUAAGCACUCCGCCUGGGGAGUACGACCGCAAGGUUGAAACUCGAAGGAAUUGACGGGGGCCCGCACAAGCGGUGGAGCAUGUGGUUUAAUUCGAAGCAACGCGAAGAACCUUACCAGGUCUUGACAUCCCGAUGCCCGCUCUAGAGAUAGAGUUUUUCUUCGGAACAUCGGAGACAGGUGGUGCAUGGUUGUCGUCAGCUCGUGUCGUGAGAUGUUGGGUUAAGUCCCGCAACGAGCGCAACCCUUAUUGUUAGUUGCCAUCAUUAAGUUGGGCACUCUAGCGAGACUGCCGGUAAUAAACCGGAGGAAGGUGGGGAUGACGUCAAAUCAUCAUGCCCCUUAUGACCUGGGCUACACACGUGCUACAAUGGUUGGUACAACGAGUCGCAAGCCGGUGACGGCAAGCUAAUCUCUGAAAGCCAAUCUCAGUUCGGAUUGUAGGCUGCAACUCGCCUACAUGAAGUCGGAAUCGCUAGUAAUCGCGGAUCAGCACGCCGCGGUGAAUACGUUCCCGGGCCUUGUACACACCGCCCGUCACACCACGAGAGUUUGUAACACCCAAAGUCGGUGAGGU